GCGACGCCGCGUGGGUGAGGAAGGCCUUCGGGUUGUAAAGCCCUGUCAGGAGUUAAGAAAUGUAGGUACGCUAAUAUCGUGCUUAUUUGACAAAGGCUCCAAAGGAAGCCACGGCUAACUCUGUGCCAGCAGCCGCGGUAAUACAGAGGUGGCAAGCGUUGUUCGGAAUUAUUGGGCGUAAAGAGCACGUAGGUGGAUUUGUAAGUCAGAUGUGAAAGCCUUCUGUUCAACGGGAGAAUUGCAUCUGAAACUACAAACCUUGAGUGUAGGAGGGGAGAAUGGAACUUCUGGUGGAGCGGUGAAAUGCGUAGAUAUCAGAAGGAACGCCGGCGGCGAAAGCGAUUCUCUGGCCUAUUACUGACACUCAGUGUGCGAAAGCUAGGGGAGCAAACGGGAUUAGAUACCCCGGUAGUCCUAGCCGUAAACGAU
RNAcentral lists this ribosomal RNA (429 nucleotides) under uncultured Candidatus Scalindua sp. Its description in RNAcentral is "bacterial SSU rRNA". It matches the Rfam family "Bacterial small subunit ribosomal RNA", at positions 391 to 810 of the family's 1533-position model. Lineage: Bacteria; Pseudomonadati; Planctomycetota; Candidatus Brocadiia; Candidatus Brocadiales; Candidatus Scalinduaceae. The record is from RNAcentral.